This 536-nucleotide ribosomal RNA is filed under the name Salmonella enterica. RNAcentral's name for it is "partial 23S ribosomal RNA". It matches the Rfam family "Bacterial large subunit ribosomal RNA", at positions 87 to 662 of the family's 2925-position model. The record is from RNAcentral. Lineage: Bacteria; Pseudomonadati; Pseudomonadota; Gammaproteobacteria; Enterobacterales; Enterobacteriaceae.
UGAUAUGAACCGUUAUAACCGGCGAUUUCCGAAUGGGGAAACCCAGUGUGAUUCGUCACACUAUCAUUAACUGAAUCCAUAGGUUAAUGAGGCGAACCGGGGGAACUGAAACAUCUAAGUACCCCGAGGAAAAGAAAUCAACCGAGAUUCCCCCAGUAGCGGCGAGCGAACGGGGAGGAGCCCAGAGCCUGAAUCAGCAUGUGUGUUAGUGGAAGCGUCUGGAAAGGCGCGCGAUACAGGGUGACAGCCCCGUACACAAAAGCGCAUGUGCUGUGAGCUCGAUGAGUAGGGCGGGACACGUGGUAUCCUGUCUGAAUAUGGGGGGACCAUCCUCCAAGGCUAAAUACUCCUGACUGACCGAUAGUGAACCAGUACCGUGAGGGAAAGGCGAAAAGAACCCCGGCGAGGGGAGUGAAAAAGAACCUGAAACCGUGUACGUACAAGCAGUGGGAGCACAGGUUUACCUGUGUGACUGCGUACCUUUUGUAUAAUGGGUCAGCGACUUAUAUUCUGUAGCAAGGUUAACCGAAUAGGGG